Molecule: long non-coding RNA, 1010 nt
Filed under: Sorghum bicolor (sorghum)
Lineage: Eukaryota; Viridiplantae; Streptophyta; Magnoliopsida; Poales; Poaceae
Description: long non-coding RNA (SBIC_LNC009449)
Source: RNAcentral
GUGGGUUAUGGCAAGAAUUUUCAUUAGAGUUCACUAGACCAAAUAUACAUUGGAAAUAAUAGUAACAAAUUAUCUUUACGUUUUCCUGUUCAUUUUAGGUAGAGUUACAAGUGCUGUAUCGGUAGUACGUAUUAUCCAUCAUCUGAAUGUUCUCAAAAUUGAUCAUCUGAAUGUUUUGAAUAGCUUAGGUUCUCUUCCAUAAGCUUGUUGGGUUAUCUUCUUGGAGGCUCUCACGUGCUGUGUUGGAGCAACUGUGUUGUGUUUGCUCCUAAGGGGAUGAGCUGUUUCGUUGAAAAGAUGAGAACAUUCGAUAGGAAUGCACUUCGUGAAUAUUACGUAAAACAAAGGGAGAGAGAAAAAAAAAAUAAAGGUUCAGAGUAAGUAACCAAGUCCCAAGCACAUAUAUAGCUUGACACCCCAUAUACCAUUGUAUAGAAGACCAGCGUGAUCAGACAGCAUACGGUGUACUGAGCAAGAUUGGCUAGUCGCCAAAUAAAUGACUAGUGUUUUGCUUGAAUUUGAUGGAAAAAAUAUUGUGAAGGGUGGGAUGAACUUCAUUCAAUCGUUCAUAAAAAGUACAUGACGACUAUAGAAUAGGGAAAGGGGUAUGAAAAAAAAUCACAAAACAAAACAUCUUGAUAUCUAAUUAUGCAGUGGCACAACACACAUUCUCCGGGGAUUUGGAACCAACCACACAGGGGCUGGAGAGUUGGACCAAAGCUGAGGGGAUACAAUUUCCGUGUUCCUGUUCUUUGCUAGGUCAAAUUCUCCAAUAUCACGCCUAUUAUUCUUGGAAAACUUAAUAUCAAGUUCAUCGUCAUCAGUAAAAUAGGCAUGAUUUGCCUUCAUUUGGGGAUAUUCUUUGGCACAAAGGCAAAGUGAUUGGUUAAGCCCAAUAAAAAGCACAUUCUUAUCCAAGGUAUUUACAUCCACAAGCUUUUUGUGAUGUAAGGUCCACUUUAUGUACUUUGAUCUUGUUGGUCAUCCUGAGUGGCGAAGGCUCAUGUUCU